GCAGGAGUAACGUGAUCUCAUUUGUCAAAGAUCACUGACUGCCUGGGAGAGAGGGUGGACACCACGACUGGAGCAAGUCUGGAAUGGCCGAGACCUGAGACUCCCCUGUGCGCACGGCUGGGCUGGAACCAGGAACCCAAGGUCACCUGAGAUUUUCAAAUUCCGUUUUACAGUCAUGCUUCUCAGACAAGUUUGCGACAAGCACCAAAGAUAACUCCCUAGCACUUGUUGUGAGCCUGCACUGUGCUGCCGGGGACUGGUACCUGCUCAGCCUUUGUUUUAUCCUCUGUAAUAAGGGAUGGUAAGAUCUGUCCUCCUCAUGGCUCAGAAACCCAGGGUGUUGAGAUUAGAUAAACCCCAGGGGAGAGAAGGCCCAGCCUCUAACCUGGUGCUGCCUCUCCAGUACGCACUACGUGAUCCACCUGAAAAUCUCCAAGCUGCAGGGGUUUAAAGAGGUCCCUUAGUUGGGUCUCCAGAAACUUGGCAGAAACAAAGUAUCUUGGGAGGACUUCACAUUUUAGGACUCAAAGAAUUCCCACAGAUAUUCUUUUUCUCCUUCUCCUUCUUCUUGGUACUAGGGAUUGAACCUUUAUCACUGAGCUACAUCCCCAAUUUAAAAAAUAAAAAUUUUUAAAUAUUGAGACAGGGUCUUGCUAAGUUGAGGUGGCUAGUCUCGAACUUGAGAUCCUCCUGCCUCAACCUCUGGUCCCUGGGAUGACAGGCGUGCACGACUGUGCCCAGCCCCACAAAUAACCUUCGAAGGAACCUGAGUUCACUGUCAAAAAUCAGGAAAUAAAAGGGAAGCGAGGUAUCAUCGACAAGAGCCAGCGGCCACAACAGUGGGAAGAAGUCCACGAAUCCUGAAGAUCUUGGAGGUGUCGCACCAAGGGUAGAGUACGAAGAGUGUCAGGGACAGACACUGUGGUUAGACUAGUAAACACAGCAAGGAACUAAACGCACAGAAUUCAAGUCGCUGGCCCUGUCUGAAGGGAAAGGAAAGGAAACUAGCCGAGAGGCAAUGAAGGCUUCUCAGGCCCCACUACUGUCCUGACUGCAAGCUCCCUGCGGCCACCCAGGCCGACUCCACAGGUGCUUGCUGUGUUGUUGUUCUUUAUAUUUUCAGCAUAUAUUUUCUCAUAAAUGCUGUUUUGCUGUCUAUUGUUUCAUAAAACCAAUAAAAAUGUAGCUGGGGCCGGUUCCCUCCAAUGUUGGAGCGGGUCUGCCCUCUUCCCAGUCUGGGGCUGCUCAUGUUGGGUAAAUACUUGAACCGUCUUUCCCCCACCUUCCAGAUCUGGGGAGAGGAUGCCUGUCCCCCUAUAGUUCCACGUGUUUCCGGUGAGUUCAGUGUAUCUAGGCAGCGGGAAUCAUCCUACCUGCCUCCAUCCCCACCACUGGAUUCCCAGAGCACUUAACAUUUUUAAUUUCACCACAACUGCCCCGUUUCUUUGUGUCUCUGGCCCACUGAGCCAUCGGGCCUCAAGGACAGGCUUAUCUCUUAAUCACUGCUCCAUCCCUAGUGCCCAGCCCUCGGGAGGACUAUACAGUACUGGUUUGGGAUGGAUCCCAAACCCACUGCCUGCCCUUCCCGAAUCAUUAAGGGGGCUCCUUUCUCCUGACUUUGAUCACACGCCAGGCCUCUGACCACACAGGGUGGGCCGCCUUUCUGUUGCUGUAACCAAAAUGCCUGACACACACAACUUGGAGGGGGGAAGAUUUGUUUGGGUCACGGUUUCAGAGGUUUGAGUCAAUGAUUCACUGGCUUCGAGGCAGGAGCUCAUGAAGACUGGGAAGGAGAGGCAGGCCAGGGACAAGAUGGAGUCCCACAGGCCUGGCCCCCAUGACCUAUAUCCUCCACCAGUUGUCCGCUCCGAUCAGUGACCCAUCGGGUGGAUCAGACGACUACUGAUGAGAUCCAACUACUUCCCCAAAGCCCUGCCUCUGGACCCUGGGGCCAUGGGACCCAAGCCUUCCACAAGGACAUUCCUGAUCCAAACCUUGACCCUGGGGUCUCCUCUGUCGGACCAAGUCGCUCGUUACCUGAG
This 2042-nucleotide long non-coding RNA is filed under the name Marmota monax (woodchuck). The record is from RNAcentral. Lineage: Eukaryota; Metazoa; Chordata; Mammalia; Rodentia; Sciuridae.